RNAcentral lists this ribosomal RNA (422 nucleotides) under uncultured bacterium. RNAcentral describes it as "bacterial SSU rRNA". It matches the Rfam family "Bacterial small subunit ribosomal RNA", at positions 355 to 774 of the family's 1533-position model. The record is from RNAcentral.
UGAGGAAUAUUGGACAAUGGGCGCAAGCCUGAUCCAGCCAUGCCGCGUGCAGGAAGAAGCAUCUAUGGUGUGUAAACUGCUUUUGUACGGGAAGAAACACUCCUUCGUGAAGGAGCUCGACGGUACCGUAAGAAUAAGGAUCGGCUAACUCCGUGCCAGCAGCCGCGGUAAUACGGAGGAUCCAAGCGUUAUCCGGAAUCAUUGGGUUUAAAGGGUCCGUAGGCGGUUUAGUAAGUCAGUGGUGAAAGCCCAUCGCUCAACGAUGGAACGGCCAUUGAUACUGCUAGACUUGCAUUAUUAGGAAGUAACUAGCAUAUGUAGUGUAGCGGUAAAAUGCUUCGAUAUUACAUGGAAUACCAAUUGCGAAGGCAGGUUACUACUACUGGAUUGACGCUGAUGGACGAAAGCGUGGGGAGCGAACA